Molecule: ribosomal RNA, 474 nt
Filed under: uncultured bacterium
Lineage: Bacteria
Description: SSU rRNA
Rfam family: Bacterial small subunit ribosomal RNA
Source: RNAcentral
AGAACGAACGCUGGCGGCGUGCUUAACACAUGCAAGUCAAGCGGAAAGGCCCUUCGGGGUACUCGAGCGGCGAACGGGUGAGUAACACGUGAGCAACCUGCCCUUAGCUCUGGGAUAGCUCCGGGAAACCGGAAUUAAUACCGGAUAUGACCUAGGCCGACAUCGGCCGUGGUGGAAAGUUUUUCGGCUAGGGAUGGACUCGCGGCCUAUCAGCUAGUUGGUGGGGUAAUGGCCUACCAAGGCGACGACGGGUAGCCGGCCUGAGAGGGCGACCGGCCACACUGGGACUGAGACACGGCCCAGACUCCUACGGGAGGCAGCAGUGGGGAAUCUUGCGCAAUGGGCGAAAGCCUGACGCAGCGACGCCGCGUGGGGGAUGAAGGCCUUCGGGUUGUAAACCCCUUUCAGCAGGGACGAAGCGAAAGUGACGGUACCUGCAGAAGAAGCGCCGGCUAACUACGUGCCAGCAGCCGC